RNAcentral lists this long non-coding RNA (1504 nucleotides) under Scophthalmus maximus (turbot). Its description in RNAcentral is "lncRNA (ENSSMAG00000030340.1)". The record is from RNAcentral. Lineage: Eukaryota; Metazoa; Chordata; Actinopteri; Pleuronectiformes; Scophthalmidae.
CUCGUCUCACAGAUCAGGUCUCGUCUCACAGAUCAGGUCUCGUCUCACAGAUCAGGUCUCGUCUCACAGAUCAGGUCUUGUCCAGGUCUCGUCUCACAGAUCAGGUCUCGUCUCACAGAUCAGGUCUCGUCUCACAGAUCAGGUCUCGUCUCACAGAUCAGGUCUCGUCUCACUGAUCAGGUCUCGUCCAGGUCUCGUCUCACAGAUCAGGUCUCGUCUCACAGAUCAGGUCUCGUCUCACUGAUCAGGUCUCGUCCAGGUCUCGUCUCACAGAUCAGGUCUCGUCUCACAGAUCAGGUCUCGUCUCACAGAUCAGGUCUUGUCUCACAGAUCAGGUCUCGUCUCACUGAUCAGGUCUCGUCUCACAGAUCAGGUCUUGUCUCACAGAUCAGGUCUCGUCUCACAGAUCAGGUCUCGUCCAGGUCUCGUCUCACAGAUCAGGUCUCGUCUCACAGAUCAGGUCUUGUCCAGGUCCUGUCUCACAGAUCAGGUCUCGUCCAGGUCUCGUCUCACAGAUCAGGUCUUGUCUCAUAGAUCAGGAUCAGAUCAUUGUAUUCACAGUUACAUCAGGAUUCUUCUGAUCCUCGUGGUUCAGGCUCCAGAUUCGCUGCUGAAUUCCUGCUCCGCGAUGAGCCACCGGGCCUCAGGUCCUCGGGCCGGACUCUGCCGAGUCCCGACUCGAGAGGCUUGCAGCCGGGCCUCAGAGCCUUGACCGCUGUGUCGACAAAGAUAUUAGAUAGUAAAAAAUAACUGAUACCGAUAUAUCGGACUGAUGAUUAUAUAUAUAUUUUUUAAAGGACUCACAGUGAUUUAAAAUAUGUUGUUAUCGAACCCUAAUGAAGAAGAAACGUAAUCACAUGUUUGCUCGAUGAUUAUAAACAAAAUUGUUCAUAUCAACAUUUUAUAACCGAGACAUUUGACUAGUAUCUGUGACUCAGUUAAAAUCAAAGCGCUGUUGUCCCAAAGCGCCAAGCACAGUUUUUUGAACUCACAUGGACGUCGGAGGUCAGAUGUGUUGAUCAAACACAGUUUGUAUGUCAGGUAUAACAAAUCAGUGUCAACUUCACCUUCAAAUCGAUUUCAUUAUUAUUUACAGUGUCUGUGAUGACCUACAAUGGUGGAACAACAACCCCCCGAUCCUGUGUUCAUUACAGCACAACAUUCAGCCUCCAACGAAACUGUAAGUGAGGCUGAUGCAACAACAAAAAGCAGAUUUUUGUUUGUUCUUCAUGUAUCUUUGAUUCCAUACAUGCGUUAAUAUGUGUGUAGGUGUGUGUGUGUGUGUGUGUGUGUGUGUGGUAAAGGGGUUGCCAGAGCAGAAAGGGCAACCCCCUCCGUCCUCUUCAGGGGGCCGAGUGGGCGGACGGUCCAGAUGGAUUACUGCUGCUGCUGCACCUCACAAACCUGAAACACACAAAUGGAACAUAAUGAAUGGAAAAAUAAGAAAGUACAAAUAAUGAAUGAUAAAUGAUGAAUAUCAAAUAAUACAUGUAAAAAAUAAUAA